RNAcentral lists this transfer RNA (72 nucleotides) under Ictidomys tridecemlineatus (thirteen-lined ground squirrel). RNAcentral describes it as "Spermophilus tridecemlineatus (thirteen-lined ground squirrel) tRNA". It matches the Rfam family "tRNA". Rfam says of the family: Transfer RNA (tRNA) molecules are approximately 80 nucleotides in length. The record is from Rfam by way of RNAcentral. Lineage: Eukaryota; Metazoa; Chordata; Mammalia; Rodentia; Sciuridae.
GGGGAUGAAGCUCAGUGGUACAGCACUUGCCUGGCAUGCACCAGGCCCUGGGUUCAAUUCCCAGCACCACAA